This 65-nucleotide transfer RNA is filed under the name Phloeopora testacea. RNAcentral describes it as "tRNA-Pro". The record is from RNAcentral. Lineage: Eukaryota; Metazoa; Arthropoda; Insecta; Coleoptera; Staphylinidae.
CAGAGAGUAGUUUAUAAUUAAAAUAUUAAUUUUGGAGAUUAAUGAUAAGAGUUUUUUUUCUCUGA